This 370-nucleotide ribosomal RNA is filed under the name uncultured eukaryote. RNAcentral describes it as "partial 18S ribosomal RNA". It matches the Rfam family "Eukaryotic small subunit ribosomal RNA", at positions 592 to 976 of the family's 1831-position model. The record is from RNAcentral.
CAAUAGCGUAUAUUAAAGUUGUUGCAGUUAAAAAGCUCGUAGUUGGACCUUGGACCUGGACAGGCGGUCCGCCUCACGGCGUGUACUGUCUUGCUGGGUCUUUCCUCUUGGUGAUCUGUUGUUUCGGCAGCAGGGAACCAGGACUUUUACUUUGAAAAAAUUAGAGUGUUCAAAGCAGGCUCGACGCCGGAAUAUAUUAGCAUGGAAUAAUAAAAUAGGACGUGCGGUUCUAUUUUGUUGGUUUUUGGAAUCGCCGUAAUGAUUAAUAGGGACAGUCGGGGGCAUUAGUACUCACAUGCUAGAGGUGAAAUUCUUGGAUUUUGUGAAGACUAACUUCUGCGAAAGCAUUUGCCAAGGAUGUUCUCAUUAA